UACGGAGGGGGCUAGCGUUGUUCGGAAUUACUGGGCGUAAAGCGCGCGUAGGCGGACCUGCAAGUCGGGGGUGAAAGCCCGAGGCUCAACCUCGGAACUGCCUUCGAUACUGCGGGUCUCGAGUCCGGGAGAGGUGAGUGGAAUUCCUAGUGUAGAGGUGAAAUUCGUAGAUAUCGAGAGGAACACCUGCGGCGAAGGCGGGUUGCUGGGCUGACACUGACGCUGAUGCGCGAAAGCUAGGGGAGCGAACGGG
This 253-nucleotide ribosomal RNA is filed under the name uncultured bacterium. Its description in RNAcentral is "partial 16S ribosomal RNA". It matches the Rfam family "Bacterial small subunit ribosomal RNA", at positions 524 to 776 of the family's 1533-position model. The record is from RNAcentral.